This 224-nucleotide ribosomal RNA is filed under the name uncultured bacterium. RNAcentral's name for it is "partial 16S ribosomal RNA". It matches the Rfam family "Bacterial small subunit ribosomal RNA", at positions 524 to 746 of the family's 1533-position model. The record is from RNAcentral.
UACGAAGGGGGCUAGCGUUGCUCGGAAUCACUGGGCGUAAAGGGUGCGUAGGCGGGUCUUUUAAGUCAGGGGUGAAAUCCUGGAGCUCAACUCCAGAACUGCCUUUGAUACUGAAGAUCUUGAGUUCGGGAGAGGUGAGUGGAACUGCGAGUGUAGAGGUGAAAUUCGUAGAUAUUCGCAAGAACACCAGUGGCGAAGGCGGCUCACUGGCCCGAUACUGACGC